This 176-nucleotide non-coding RNA is filed under the name uncultured Rummeliibacillus sp. RNAcentral describes it as "Lysine riboswitch". It matches the Rfam family "Lysine riboswitch aptamer". Rfam says of the family: Riboswitches are metabolite binding domains within certain messenger RNAs that serve as precision sensors for their corresponding targets. Lineage: Bacteria; Bacillati; Bacillota; Bacilli; Caryophanales; Caryophanaceae. The record is from RNAcentral.
GAUGAUAGAGGCGCGGAUUUCAAUAGUACCCGACCGGAGGAUGAUUAGAUUCUUUGAAAGUCGGUGAAAGGGGAAGCCGCCGAAGUUGCAAGUUUGCUAAUUCCAACUUGCUGCUGGUUCUACAUUGAAGAAAUGUAGAAUUGUCAGAGUCGAAAAUAGAUUCUGGAGGGCUAUCU